CAUUGAUUAGGAACACUGAGCGCUAGAAUUCCUCAGGAGCAAAGCCACUGUAAAUUAUGCAAAACGACUAGCAACGUAGUAAAAAUAUUCUGCUUUGGUAAGAGCAAAAAAGUGUUGCCGUUGAGGAUGUUCUUUUCCUAUAUCAGCAAGUCCAGAUGGGCUUCUUUUUUUGUUCCUUGUGUUUUCUUCUAGCAUAUUCGCAGAAGUCUGAGCACAGAGUGGGAUGUUGCGCAGCACAGCAGAAAGAAAACGGUUCAAAAUGUUUGUUUAUGUACAUUUCCUUUUGUACCCUGCAAUGAACAUUGCAAUAGAUUACAGCGGUUCAGAACCACACGCAUGACCAUCUCUCUAAAAAGCACAUGCAAAAAAGAAGCGAGAAUAAAAAUGCCAUCUAAUCCCAGCAGACUAAAAUCUCAGUUAAACAGAAUGGAUUGACCCAACGGGUGGGUAAAACACUUUUUGUCUUGGAUGAUAUUUUGAAUCCAGGUGACAAACUGAACCUUUCAAAACUGCAUUGACUUUUUGGUUUCUUAGAAUCGCCGAACAAUGCUGAGUGCCAUGCUGAUUUUACUGUACUGAAAAAGAGAAAGGAAGUAUGCAGAUUUAUUUUAUUAUUUAUUUUAAACACUAUUUAUGGGGCAUAUUACCAAAACUGGGCCAAUAAUGAAAUGUGUGAAGGAACUGGGGGUGAAGAGACAGAAAGGGGAAGGAAGAGGUAUAGGUUCUGAAGUCAGAAAGGUGAUUCAAAGAUAGUGAAUGAUAACAGUCCCAUAAUAGUGGAACUCAGAUCCAAAGUGUGCGAUCAACAGCCUUAUAUAACCAACAUGCUUAAGUCAAAUUAAUGCAUGAAGGAGUUAAUACCACAGAAUAAGCUGUCCUGCCAGGAUUAGCUAUAUUCACUUCCCCUCACCUUGGGAGGAUGUGGUAAUCAGGCCUUUCCUCUCCUUCAGUCUACCUGAGAAGCUCAGUGUGCGAAGAGGUUUGAGCCAGUUGCUCCAGGUCAACCAUAUGGCUCUCACAAGCCACUCUUGCAUUCUAGGAAUGCUUAGCUCUUUGUAACUAAGCCAAGUUUUACCACCUACACAGCUUUUCUGAAUCACAGGAAACUGACUUUUCAAAAGUUUGUAAGUAAACCACUUUUUAACUUACCUAACAUGUGGUCUUUUUCCUAUGCUGUGUUUGAUAUUAUAUAUACAGCCUUCCUUCCUUCCUCCCUUCCUCCCUUCCUCCCUUCCUUUCUCCAACACAAAGGAUAGGGCACAGAGUCCUCAUAAGCUUAAAGCUAAUACCAUCUCUUACAGUGAAAAUCCUCGUCAUUAUAUACUUUACAUGGCUGUCUAUUUGUAUAUAUUUUAAAAAAUUAUAUAUGGAUGUUUUAUGAUGGUCUAUACUUAUAAUGUAGGACACAGGUGGCGCUGUGGGUUAAACCACAGAGCCUAGGACUUGCUGAUCAGAAGAUUGGCGGUUCAAAUCCCUGUGACGGGGUGAGCUCCCGUUGCUCAGUCCCAGCUCCUGCCAACCUAGCAGUUCGAAAGCACGUCAAAGUGCAAGUAGAUAAAUAGGUACCUUUCCGGCGGGAAGGUAAACGGCGUUUCUGUGCACUGCUCUGGUUCGCCAGAAGCGGCUUAGUCAUGCUGGCCACAUGACCCGGAAGCUGUAUGCCGGCUCCCUUGGCCAAUAAAGCGAGAUGAGCGCCGCAACCCCAGAGUCUGCCACGACUGGACCUAAUGUCAGGGGUCCCUUUACCUUUUAUACUUAUAAUAUCUAUUAAAGGUUUGGCAAAUUAAGUAAGCUUAAAGUCAAACCAGGUGAUAGCAAACACACAUACACAGCUGCACUCCCAAGGCUGGAGGGAAGGACCACAGAUGGUUCAGCUGCCUUAUCCAAUGGACACUCAUUGGCAAGCGAGAAGUGAGGGCCAGAAUUAAUCAAAGCCAUUUUGUAGAAUUCUGUACCUUGAAAGGCUCAGUUGCUUUGCCUCUCUUGUGGUAUUUCACCCUAUAGUAAAAACCUUCCUGUUUAGGCAGGUGUUUAUUUUAUAAGUGUUUGCUUGAGGCUUCAAUUUUCUUUUCUGCUGGUCUUGUAUCUGGUUUUUAUUAUAAUGCAUUCCUUUGGAAUUUUAUUUAUUGUUGGUUUUAAUCGUUGUUAGCUGCCCUGAGUGGUGUAAUGGUACCAGGGAUAAGGCAAGUUUAUACAACAGGCAGGGCCUAAACAAUGUAUUAAUGAAGUCUAGUGUUUGCAAACCCUUUUAUGGAGGUGUGCAGUAGUUGCUUAAGGAAACAUGAGCUGGCUUCCUCCUUGCCCACACCUUGAACACACCUUGAUUUUGCAAGUAGUUGAACUGCUUCCAUCUCUGACCUUCACAUAAAGGCAGGUGUUUGAUUCCCCUUCCUGAAGUGUUGUCUGGGACUGCUGGGAGUAUGGCAGAGUUCUUACUUUGGAGAAUUUAAACCAUGCUGGAAACACAGUCCGUCCAUCCGUCAGCCAGGCAGGCAGCCAGCCGGGCCAUCUGUCUUUGUUUUAUCUGUUGGCAAAGCUCAAAGCUUGCCUUCAUUGUGCUGAUCUGAAGCCGAGUUCAUUUUUCACAAGUUGCUGAAUUGCACUAUGCACAUUUUGAUAUAAAUGCGUCUGAGAACUGAUGGAGGCACCAAGACAGCUUUUGAUUGCAAGGUUCUCAUUGCAUGAAAGAAAAGAGUAUGUUCCCGCUAAAACUUAAAUUGGGCAUAAAAAGUGAAAUCCCAAGUUGAUACUCUGCCUCGCCAUCAGGUCUGUCACCAUGAUGCAGUGAUUAUGAAACCACAGUUUUUGAAGGGACCAAAUGUAGCCAUAUCACUGUUUCCAACUUCCCUGUGUCAUGACGCUCCAUGUUUCCUUGUCAGCCAAUACUAGGAGGGAGAGCAGGGAGCCAGACACAUGACUGCUCUUUCCAAUAGCAGCAGUGCAUUUAGUGUAGCCUAAUUUGCCCUUGAGAUAAAGGUGAAGGACCCCCGGAUGGUUAAGUCCAGUCAAACUUGACUAUGCUGUGUGGGGCUCAUCUUCGCUAUCUGGCCAAGGGAGCUGGCGUUUGUCUGCAGACAGCUUUCCGGGUCAUGUGGCCAGCAUGACUAAACCACUUCUGGAGCAACAGGACACCGUGACGAGUGCCAGAGCGCACAGAAAUGCCGUUUACCUUCCUGCCACAGCGGUGCCUAUUUAUCUACUCGCGCUGGUAUGCUUUUGAACUUCUAGGUUGGCAGGAGCAGGGACAGAGCAUCGGUAGUACAUUCACAGAUGCAGUUGGCUCUUGCCAAUGGAAGCUCACGCUGUGAUAGAUUUGCUAGUCUUUAAUGUGCCACAGGACCCUAUUAUGUCAGCUACAGUGAAUUCCGGAGCGCAAUUAAGAUGAUCAGCACGUGCCCUUCGACCACUGCAAAUGGGAAAGGGCAAGGUUAGGCAGCAAAGGUGAAGAAGGGUGUUCUGAGUGCAGGCAUGAGCUGUUUGUGCAGAAGCAUGCAUCUUCUCACCCCCAAGUUCUGUUUGUUUUAUUUUAUUUUCUCCAAGGCUGCUGAGUUGGGUUGAAACAUAGUUAAGCAGCACAUAAGGGCAAUGCAAUGCAGCAGCAGUUCCUCAGUUGUUGUUGUUGUUUUUAAAGGAGACGUAUAUAUACCAACCCAUAAAGAAGGCUGAUCGCCGAAGAAUUGAUGCUUUUGAAUUAUGGUGCUGGAGGAGACUCUUGAGAGUCUCGUGGACUGCAAGAAGAUCAAACCUCUCCAUUCUUAAGGAAAUCAGCCCUGAGUGCUCACUGGAAGGACAGAUCUUGAAGCUGAGGCUCCAGUACUUUGGCUACCUCAUGAGAAGAGAAGACUCCCUGGAAAAGACCCUGAUGUUGGGAAAGAUGGAGGGCACAAGGAGAAGGGGACGACAGAGGACGAGAUGGUUGGAUAGUGUUUGCGAAGCUACCAGCAUGAGUUUGACCAAACUGCGGGAGGCAGUGGAAGACAGGAGUGCCUGGCGUGCUCUGGUCCAUGGGGUCACGACGAGUCGGACACGACUAAACGACUAAACAACAACAACAACAUAUAUACCAACAAUACAACCACAAAGGAACUACUGAAAAUACCAGUGAGUAUAACUAGAUGUUACAUGCAGAUUCAGGAAGCUGUGUCUUUGAGGGGAGUAUGGUGAGGAGAUGCUUAACUCAUUCAUUUGCACUUGAAGAAAAACAAACAAACCCCAAAGCACACAUCCCAUAAACUGCUUUUCUCUGGCACUUUGUGGGGGGGGGGGAGAAAUACCUGUGGCUGAUUUGGAACAGGUAAAAACAGUAUAUCUCCGAAAGCAGAGAGAUAAAUGUAAAGCAAAGUCCUGUGGCAACAGAGUGUCAGGGCCUGGGCAGAGGAGGAAUGGUGGAGACCGCCUCCCCAGCCUGACCCUUCCAGAGAAGAAGAAGACAGUUCAGAAUUACAACAGGGGUUUCAGGGAGGUCACAGCUCAGAGGCAGAUGAGGGGGAAAGCUGGAAAAUAAUG
This is a non-coding RNA of Podarcis lilfordi (Lilford's wall lizard), 4506 nucleotides long. The record is from the annotation of a GenBank genome assembly. Lineage: Eukaryota; Metazoa; Chordata; Lepidosauria; Squamata; Lacertidae.